UCGUUCCGGUGGUCUAGUUUGGUUAUGACAUCGGUCUCAUAAUCCGAGGGUCACGAGUUCGACUCUCGUCCGGUGAG
RNAcentral lists this transfer RNA (77 nucleotides) under Phialophora macrospora. RNAcentral describes it as "tRNA-Met (CAT) (tRNA-Met-CAT-1-1)". The stretch from base 6 to 73 matches the Rfam family "tRNA". From Rfam's summary of the family: Transfer RNA (tRNA) molecules are approximately 80 nucleotides in length. Their secondary structure includes four short double-helical elements and three loops (D, anti-codon, and T loops). Lineage: Eukaryota; Fungi; Ascomycota; Eurotiomycetes; Chaetothyriales; Herpotrichiellaceae. The record is from RNAcentral.